UACGUAGGGUGCGAGCGUUAAUCGGAAUUACUGGGCGUAAAGGGUGCGCAGGCGGUUAUAUAAGACAGAUGUGAAAUCCCCGGGCUCAACCUGGGAACUGCGUUUGUGACUGUAUGACUAGAGUGUGUCAGAGGGGGGUAGAAUUCCACGUGUAGCAGUGAAAUGCGUAGAUAUGUGGAGGAAUACCGAUGGCGAAGGCAGCCCCCUGGGAUAACACUGACGCUCAUGCACGAAAGCGUGGGGAGCAAACAGG
This 253-nucleotide ribosomal RNA is filed under the name uncultured bacterium. RNAcentral's name for it is "partial 16S ribosomal RNA". It matches the Rfam family "Bacterial small subunit ribosomal RNA", at positions 524 to 776 of the family's 1533-position model. The record is from RNAcentral.